UAUGUGAUCGUCUCUCGCAUAUCAAUAAGCGGAGGAAAAGAAACUAACAAGGAUUCCCCUAGUAACGGCGAGUGAAGCGGGAAGAGCUCAAAUUUGAAAUCUUAAAGGGUUUCCCUUUACGAAUUGUAGUUUAAAGAAGUGUUUUCUGUUGAGGUUUUGGUAAAAGUUCUUUGGAAUAGGACAUCAUAGAGGGUGAGAAUCCCGUAUUUGACCUUUACUUUCAACUUUGUGAUACACUUUCAAAGAGUCGGAUUGUUUGGGAAUGCAGUCCAAAAUGGGUGGUAAAUUUCAUCUAAAGCUAAAUAUUGGCGAGAGACCGAUAGCGAACAAGUACCGUGAGGGAAAGAUGAAAAGAACUUUGAAAAGAGAGUUAAACAGUACGUGAAAUUGUCAAGAGGGAAGCGUUUGACACCAGUGUUGUUUUUCUGAAAAUCAAUUAAAGAACUGUUUAUGCUAAGCUGUUUAGACUUUAUCGGCUAACUGUUUAGUUUUGAGCUUUUCUUUAAUGCACUUUUCAGUUAACAAGUCAACAUCAAUUUCUUUUGCUGUAAAAAAGCUUGAGGAAGGUGGCUUGAGAUUCGUCUUAAGUGUUUAUAGCCUCUUGCCUAUGCAGUCGGAGAGAUUGAGGUCUGCAGCGUAGAUCCUUCGGGGCUAAAUGCAUUUGUGCUAAGUUAUAGCAUUUUAUAGACAACUUGUUGACUAUGAUUUGUCUUGUAGCUUACUCGCUUAUGUUAUUUUACCUACGCUUAGGAUGUUGAUCUGUAGUGCGUGCG
Molecule: ribosomal RNA, 773 nt
Filed under: uncultured Neocallimastigales
Lineage: Eukaryota; Fungi; Neocallimastigomycota; Neocallimastigomycetes; Neocallimastigales
Description: partial large subunit ribosomal RNA
Rfam family: Eukaryotic large subunit ribosomal RNA
Source: RNAcentral